Ribosomal RNA from Pan paniscus (pygmy chimpanzee), 117 nucleotides. The record is from Ensembl. NCBI's taxonomy places the organism in Eukaryota, Metazoa, Chordata, Mammalia, Primates, Hominidae.
GUCUAUGGCCAUACUACCCUGAAUGCGCCCGAUCUCUUCUGAUCUCAGAAGCUAAGCAGGGUCAGGCCUGGUUAGUACUUGGAUGGGAGAACACUUGGACACAGGAAGGGGAACAUC